AGUGAACGCUGGCGGUAGGCCUAACACAUGCAAGUCGAACGGCAGCACAGUAAGAGCUUGCUCUUACGGGUGGCGAGUGGCGGACGGGUGAGGAAUACAUCGGAAUCUACUUUUUCGUGGGGGAUAACGUAGGGAAACUUACGCUAAUACCGCAUACGACCUACGGGUGAAAGCAGGGGAUCUUCGGACCUUGCGCGAUUGAAUGAGCCGAUGUCGGAUUAGCUAGUUGGCGGGGUAAAGGCCCACCAAGGCGACGAUCCGUAGCUGGUCUGAGAGGAUGAUCAGCCACAGUGGAACUGAGACACGGUCCUGACUCCUACGGGAGGCAGCAGUGGGGAAUAUUGGACAAUGGGCGCAAGCCUGAUCCAGCCAUACCGCGUGGGUGAAGAAGGCCUUCGGGUUGUAAAGCCCUUUUGUUGGGAAAGAAAAGCAGCAGGUUAAUACCCCGCUGUUCUGACGGUACCCAAAGAAUAAGCACCGGCUAACUUCGUG
Molecule: ribosomal RNA, 492 nt
Filed under: uncultured bacterium
Lineage: Bacteria
Description: partial 16S ribosomal RNA
Rfam family: Bacterial small subunit ribosomal RNA
Source: RNAcentral